CGAUGAACCACUUCGGUGGGGAUUAGUGGCGAACGGGUGAGUAACACGUGGGCAAUCUGCCCUGCACUCUGGGACAAGCCCUGGAAACGGGGUCUAAUACCGGAUACUGACCCGCUUGGGCAUCCAAGCGGUUCGAAAGCUCCGGCGGUGCAGGAUGAGCCCGCGGCCUAUCAGCUUGUUGGUGAGGUAAUGGCUCACCAAGGCGACGACGGGUAGCCGGCCUGAGAGGGCGACCGGCCACACUGGGACUGAGACACGGCCCAGACUCCUACGGGAGGCAGCAGUGGGGAAUAUUGCACAAUGGGCGAAAGCCUGAUGCAGCGACGCCGCGUGAGGGAUGACGGCCUUCGGGUUGUAAACCUCUUUCAGCAGGGAAGAAGCGAAAGUGACGGUACCUGCAGAAGAAGCGCCGGCUAACUACGUGCCAGCAGCCGCGGUAAUACGUAGGGCGCGAGCGUUGUCCGGAAUUAUUGGGCGUAAAGAGCUCGUAGGCGGCUUGUCACGUCGGUUGUGAAAGCCCGGGGCUUAACCCCGGGUCUGCAGUCGAUACGGGCAGGCUAGAGUUCGGUAGGGGAGAUCGGAAUUCCUGGUGUAGCGGUGAAAUGCGCAGAUAUCAGGAGGAACACCGGUGGCGAAGGCGGAUCUCUGGGCCGAUACUGACGCUGAGGAGCGAAAGCGUGGGGGAGCGAACAGGAUUAGAUACCCUGGUAGUCCACGCCGUAAACGGUGGGCACUAGGUGUGGGCGACAUUCCACGUCGUCCGUGCCGCAGCUAACGCAUUAAGUGCCCCGCCUGGGGAGUACGGCCGCAAGGCUAAAACUCAAAGGAAUU
This 831-nucleotide ribosomal RNA is filed under the name Streptomyces sp. 41724. Its description in RNAcentral is "bacterial SSU rRNA". It matches the Rfam family "Bacterial small subunit ribosomal RNA", at positions 67 to 911 of the family's 1533-position model. The record is from RNAcentral. Lineage: Bacteria; Bacillati; Actinomycetota; Actinomycetes; Kitasatosporales; Streptomycetaceae.